AUGUCGAUAUCCUCGAGCUCCAACAAGACGCUGCCCUACUCGGCGGACGGUGGCAGCUACAGCACCCACGACACGCUCGCCCUCCUCGUCAUCGGCUUCAGCGUCACCGCCGUCUGUGUCUUCAUAAUCGCCCUAUUCGAUUGCCUGUGCUGCCGCCCGCGCCGCGCUGGCGGCCGCAGGAUCGUCUUCGUGGGCGCCCGGCCGUUCUUGGUGCGUGCCGGCGGCGAUGGUGGGCUGAGCCCCACGGCCGUGGCCGCGCUGCCGUCGUUCUUGUACCACAGAGGCGUGGCCGUCCGCGGCAACGACGGUCCGGACGGUCGUGGCGAAGGCAGCGGCGGCGGCCGCGGGUGGGCGCAGUGCGCGGUGUGCCUCAGCCUGGUGAAGGAAGGGGAGGUGGUGAGGCAGCUGCCGGCGUGCAUGCACCUGUUCCAUGUAGGCUGCGUCGACACCUGGUUGCACUCCCACUCCACUUGCCCUCUGUGCAGGGCCACGGUAGAGCCCCCUUCGAAAGACCAGGUGCCUCCUGUGUGA
Molecule: ribosomal RNA, 531 nt
Filed under: Triticum aestivum (bread wheat)
Lineage: Eukaryota; Viridiplantae; Streptophyta; Magnoliopsida; Poales; Poaceae
Description: partial small subunit ribosomal RNA
Source: RNAcentral